CGAACUACCGCUUUCCCCGUAACCAGGGAGACUGCAGUUUGCAGUGAUGUGGCUAAGAUACCCUUGUGCUAUUAAAGGCACAUUUACGUAUCUUUCAACGCAGUUUGUACCUUUGUUUAGGGUUCUAUUGAACUUUCUCUGUGCUCUUUAGAAAACCGUCGAAUAAAGGUAACCAUCUUUUUGGGUGCCUGGGCAUGGUCAUUGUCCCAGAGUUUUAACAUAAGUCUCUACUAAAGUAUCGUGAUUUGCAAGGGAGGUCAUGGACCAAGUACAAAGCGGCAAAAGGAUGGAAUUAAGGUACCUGACAUUGUUGAACCCUUGCCUGAUGCCACAUUAGCUCAGGACUACCUACAUGGACAUGGAUAUUUCCAGUGAAAGAAAGAAGAAAGCAUGCUUUUCUCUUGACUGUGCAGAAAAAAAAUCUAUGUUUCUUUGAUUCUCCAUUUUACUAGAUGCCAUACCUUUGUAGUUACUUCAUGUGGAGUCUUGACCAAGAUUCAGGAAAUACUAGAACUUUCAGUCCCAGAAGGUUACUCUGGGCAUUACUAGUCCCCAUCAUUAUGAGUUGAGUUUUACUAGUUAAUUUCAGACGAAAAAUAUUUGUUUUUCCCCAAAUUCUGGGGUUACGUACUUUUACUACCUAUGAACUGACAACUGUAUCUUCAGUAAUUACAAUUUCCAACAAAAUGUUAUAGGAAUAAAGAAAAGAUGUUAGUUCAUUAUUCAGAGUUUAUGUUUAUUCCUUUAAUUUAAAAAAAUGGUCCG
This 765-nucleotide long non-coding RNA is filed under the name Pan troglodytes (chimpanzee). Its description in RNAcentral is "bidirectional promoter lncRNA". The record is from RNAcentral. Lineage: Eukaryota; Metazoa; Chordata; Mammalia; Primates; Hominidae.